This 16564-nucleotide long non-coding RNA is filed under the name Trifolium pratense (red clover). Its description in RNAcentral is "long non-coding RNA (TPRA_LNC012678)". Lineage: Eukaryota; Viridiplantae; Streptophyta; Magnoliopsida; Fabales; Fabaceae. The record is from RNAcentral.
CGCCCUAAAAUAUCUAAUAUUAAAAAGAUUCAUUCCACAAAUAAAAAAGAAAAUAGACACAUAUAACAUUUUUCAUAAAAUAAAAUUAUAUGCACUCACAAUUAUUAUAAAGGCACCUCCAUCUUAAAGGAGUGUGACACCUUUGUUUACACUAUCAAUAAUUUAUUCACUUUUUAAUAGAGAAGGAACGUUUCACACAAUCACAAUUAGAAGAAAUGCACUUCCGAAUUAAAGGUCUAUGACAUGCCCUUGUUUCACAAUCUUCGUCCCGUUCGCAAGGCCAUGGAAUAACUACAAUGUCAAAUAAAAAUAAAAGACUGUUAAUUAUUAUAGGUGGUCAAAUAUUGUGGGAAGAAAUAGUGUUAAAUAUUGUAUAUAUAAUAUAAAAGAAAAUUUAAAAAUAGUGAGAAGAAAUGAUUUACGAGAUGGCGUUCUUAAUCCAUCAAGUACAACAAGAAAUAUAGAAAUAAAGAUUAUCAAAGUAUAAAUAAACUUGAGAAGUUUAGUCAUAGUUUUUCUUUUUUGCAUGCAACAAAUUGAAAAUCGUUUGAUCAUUUUAUAUGUAAAAACUCUAUAGUUUGUUAACUAUAAUUAAAUAGAUCGCAGCACUUUCGAGUUGCAAUAAGUCUAUCAUAAUUUUAUUGUCAAAAAAAAAUGUCUAUCAUAAUAUUGUAAUUUUUGUUAAAUGUCUCUAAGAUAUAUUAAAGUGUCAUGUUUAUUUGAUAAGUUAAUUGCUUCGAACACUUAAACCUUAGUAAAGGUCGCACAUAAAAAUCUUGGUGAUGAUCAAUGGUGACUUUUUCUUGUAUUAUAUUAUUUCUAUUUUAGCCUUUCACAAUAGGCCGAAAAAAAAUCACAAACGAUUAAUAAAUGUGAUAAAUUAUGAAGAAAAAAAAUAAUUGUAAAAAAUAAUGCAUCAAAGAGGUGGUAACACAUUAAUUUAUAAAUUCAACUUUCCAUUGGAUUAUACUUUUUUGCCAAAAUUAUGGGAUAAAAAUAUGGUGAAGUCUAUUUGUAAAACAUCUCUCAAUAUUUUUUUUUGCUCAUACAUCUCUCAAUAUUGAAGGAUAAUUUGUUUAAAAACAAUAACACGUAAUUAAAAAUUAUGAAAGACAAGGCUUAAGUAAAAAGGACAACGGAAAGUCCUUGACUUUACUUCCUCCGUUUUUUUAGGUGUCCAUUUAAAAUACUAAUAACUAACAUUGUUUAUAAAAAAAUGUAUUUUUACACUUUAUUUUCCUAUUAUAUCCUAAUUUUAAUCCACCAAUAAAUUUUUAUUUUUUUGCACACACUUUUUCUUUUCAAUAAAUUUAAUAUAUUAUGUAAAAAAAAAAUUACUAAUAUGUUAUGUGCCAAAAAAGUUUUUAAAAAAAACUUUAGUUUUCCAAAUAUAUAGCAUUAAUUAGUAUUAUUGAAAAAGAUAAGAGUAAUGAUGUCAUAAUGUCAAAACAGCAAGAACUUGACAGAACAGUACAGGACAGAACAACAUAAUACAGGACAAGACAAAACUGUACCGGAGAGAUAUAGAGCGAUAAUAUUUUUAUAUUUGAAAAUAAAACGGGUAUUUUUGUAUUUUUUAUAGUUGUACUGUGGACAAAAAGUUGUCUUGUGAUUUAUUGAGGGACUAAAAAUCUUGUUUUUGUCUUGUCCCUUGCUACCUAAUUUGUCCAGUCCCAUAACUAUCAAACAGGAUACAACAAAAGUUGUCCAGUCCAGUCCCCUAUUUUUUAGCAGAUCAAACGCAUACAAUUGAUAAAUCCCCUUAAAAUAUCAAAUGUACAGUUAGCUGCUGGGUACUAAAAAAAGGACUGCUUAUAUGUGGGCAAUUGAUACUCCUUAUUCAAAGGUGAAGGAGGACCUUGUAUACUAUCCUAACAAAAGAUGGAACGAACAAAUUAUAAACCAAAUAUUUUUCCUUAUGGAAGCCAUUCAACCUUGACCAAGAUGUGAUGUCCUAAUCUGGCAGGGGCCACUGUACAAUGAGGCUUAAAAACCAAUUUGGUACCCGCAAUACUUCCAAGCCCCUGUGUUGACCACUUUGCCCUUAAAAACCAUUUUGGUACCCGCAAUACGAAACAAGACUAUUUUGGUACGUAACUACUGAAUCGGUGAAAACGCUACAAAAAAAAAACGUGCUUAANUGUGGUAUCUUGUGUUCUUACUGCGCUAUUUUUGAGGAGGUUCCAAACCCCCGCAAAAUAUGCAAAAUAUGUAAAAAAAAUCAAACAUUCUCCAGCACUAGAUUAGCGCUAGAUGUGGAAACAUAAAAGUCAUGGAAUGUUUGAACAAAAUUAGCAUUAUCACAUUCCAUGGAAAAAUCAAAAUUAGCAUUAUCACAUUACUAUAGAAUAGACUGAAAGUCAUGGAAACAUCAUAACAAAAUUAAUUUUAUGGCUAACAAAACUGAAGCAUUUAAGGGUAAGUUAGCAAUUGAAUCCUUUUUCCAAAUUACCUCUUCAGCUGAAAUCAUUAUUUUUCAUAGCAUUGAGCCAAAAUGAAGACACUCUUUUCUCUGCCUAAGUCACAAGCAAAUCGCCUAAACAAUUAAAGUGUAAGGUGUUGGCAGUUCCUAGUUAGUUACUACCUUUAACCUCAGCUGUUGCUUCAAUUGUUACCCCUUCCACUCCAGUGAAACUUGCAUAUUUUUAUCUCACAAUAGACAGACCGAUGCAGCAGAUUCCUCACCUAGUAUAUUCAUUCACUUUUUAAAGCUUUAGAUCACGAAACAACAAUCAUUAACAAGCUGAUGGCAUAAGAAGCAAGCAACAGGAGGAAAAUCGAUGAUGAAGCACCUUUACUUGGGACUCGAGUUUCAUCGGAUGGAAAGAAUGUGACAGCUGCUGCAGACAAACUAGUGGAAUCAAUUUUGCAGGUCCACAGAACAAAUACUCUGCAAUAACACAAGCACAACAAGAUGGUUGCACUGGAAAUUAUAAGAUUUUUGACUCAUCGUAUGACAAUUUUCUAGUACCUGUAGUUCCAACUAGUUUUUUGUAAUUUACAUUAACUUUUAGCGAUAGACGAUUUCAGUCAAUAAAAGAAAUGUGUCCGUAGAUAAAAGUCAAUAGAACUAUGAAAAUAUUCAGAAAAAUUGCAUAUAUUAAGCAGGAGUCGGAAUUCGAACCUCAGACACUCCACUUAUUCACCUUUAAGGUGGAUUUUCUAGUCAUUAGGCUACUAAACAANNNNNNNNNNNNNNNNAACUAUGAAAUAUAUAAAUUAUUUGUUUCAACUUACCUACAGAAAGUGUUUGUCACUAAAUUUUAGGCAAAAAUGCCAUAAUAUUGUUGGAGCUGAUAUGUUUCUGUCACUAAAUUAAAGUCGAUUUAAAUUAAAAACUGAUAUGUUACCUCAUUUGUUCAAUUCUUUUGAAAACUACAUUUGUUUGAUGCAUAAUUGGCUCCCUAAUGAUAUUUUGAAUUUGCUAAUUGCUAUUCCUCCACUAGAUGAUGAACAAGGUGACGAUGCAUGCAAAAGCUUCUGGCCUCAAGGAAAGAAUGGUAACUUUUCUAUCGCAUUAGCCUAUGAGCUAUUGACAGCAACUGAGCCUAAUAUUUUUUUUAAAACUUGGUAUCCGGCCUUAGAACCAACUAAUUCAAGGGGAUCAAUCCCACCGUCCACUUGCGGGAGCCCCAUUUAAAGCCAGAGUUUUUUCUCUGUAUGGACUUAGCCCACUUAAAAUUGGCGUCAGGGAGAAUCGAACCUGAGACCUUAAGAGGAGUAUACUCCAAGGACCCAAGCCAACACCACUAAACCAACCAUAAGUGGGUUAACCGAUCCUAAUAUUAAUACAGAAAGAUAGUCAUUGGCAUAUGAUUUGGAUGAUAGAAGUUUCAGAGACAGAAAGGAGCUUUAUAUGGGUUUUGAAACAUGGUGAUAGCAUAAAACAACAAACAAUAAUAUCAUAAAACGGCAAAUUGCAUAAGCCUACAAGUAUUUGGAAUAUUCAUGCAUCCGUAUGGGUAGCGUUGAUCAGCAGCGGACCUAGGGGUGGACUCAGAUGGGCCACGGCCCACCCCCACCCCCAAAAAUUAAUUUUUUAUAUGUAGGGUAUUAAUUUAAAUGUAUUAUUAAUAAUUUUAAGUCACUUAGUGUGUGUAUAUAUAUAUAUAUUAAUGUAAAUAUUAAUUUAGAGUAUAAUAUUGAUGAUUAUAAGUAACUCGGUACACAUAUUAGUUCAAGUAUUAGUGUAAAUGUUAAUUCAUAAUUAAUUGAAUUUAUAAUAUUAGAUAAAAUUAGCAAUUGAACUAACAUAUAUAAAUAUGAAAUGACAUAAAAAAAAAUUAUUGUUAUGAAUAUUAUUGGUGGAUGUUCAUAUAUGUUCUAGGCCCAUGUAAUUGGCCCACUAUAUUUACCUAUAUAUAUAGAUACUAUAUAUCAUUGUAUUGUAACCCUAAUCCUAGUGGUGAAUAACAUACACUAUUCAUUCUCUCUUUUCUCUCUUCUCCAUCUAUACUAUUGCUCAUAUUUAAAUUAGUUUAUAACACAUUUAUAUUAGUUUAUAACACAAGCUUACCAACUGAGGUACGCAACUGUUAUUCUAUUUUUACAGAUCACAAGUAAUUUUUAGUUUUGAUUAUUAUAUGGUUAUGAAUCGUUUGAACCUUGUAUACUUAUAAAGAUCAAAUAAUAAUGAUUAAAAUUAAAUAAAUAAAUAAAUAAAUAAACAUAAUUUCUUUAUGUAUUUAAUUGAUUCGAUGUUGUUUACGCUUCGUGAUAUCCGACAUUUUUUUGUGAAGCAUAACACUUUGAUCAUUCAUAUUACAUAAAAUGUUGAUCAAUUAUUUAUUUAUUUACAAUAUAUAUUUUGAAUGUUCGAUAUUAUUUGAGUUUCGUGACCGACACUCGUAUGGUGAAACAUCGACAAUUCGAUCAUCCAAAAGAACAUAAUAAGCAUGUUUAUUUAAUUUUGGCUAUAAUUUAGAACCCUUAUUUUUAAUUCUUCUGCUCCAGAACCCUAAAGGUAGACAAUUCCUUUCACUAAUCUAUUUGAUGAAAGUAGAUAAGCUGUAGUUUAUGUCUAUAAUCACAGCCGUACAUAUUAUUAUGGCUAUUGUUCAAUCACCUAACCCUAUUUUAAUUUAUUUUUUUAUUGAAUCAAUAUUUAAAUAACUAGAACUCUGACCCAUGCGGUGCAUGGGUCUAAUUAGCUGUAAUAUAUAACAAUAAAAAAUAAAAUACAAAAAUUCUAAGAGCAUUUUCAAUAAGAGUAGUAUAGGGAAUUUCAUUGACUAAUUAUUCUAUAUUUGUUUAUGUGCUUAUUUUAUAUAUUUUUUAAAUAAUUUUUGAACCACAUCAUUUUGAUUACUUAUUAAAAAAAAAUUGCUGAUAACUGAAGGUUAAAAUAUUGAUGAUAAUUAAAGGUUAAAUAAAAUUAAAGACACAAUCAAGAACAUAAACUUAAGUAGACAUCCAUAAAUAAAUAAAAAUUGUGAUUAAUUCCGUCAUUCAAAUUUAUUGAAAACANNNNNNNNNNNNNNNNNNNNNNNNNNNNNNNNNNNNNNNNNNNNNNNNNNNNNNNNNNNNNNNNNNNNNNNNNNNNNNNNNNNNNNNNNNNNNNNNNNNNNNNNNNNNNNNNNNNNNNNNNNNNNNNNNNNNNNNNNNNNNNNNNNNNNNNNNNNNNNNNNNNNNNNNNNNNNNNNNNNNNNNNNNNNNNNNNNNNNNNNNNNNNNNNNNNNNNNNNNNNNNNNNNNNNNNNNNNNNNNNNNNNNNNNNNNNNNNNNNNNNNNNNNNNNNNNNNNNNNNNNNNNUAUUUCGUGAUAAGUAAUAUAGUCAACAAUAAUUUUGAUAUGAUAUACUUUUAAAAUUGAUGGUGCUUAUCAAUUAUUGCACAUAAUUUUAAUCACAAUUGGUAUACUUGCUAUAGUGGUUGGAAAUAUUGUCUUGUACUGAAGGGUUGCGGGUUCGAAUCUUAUUCAAGACAAAAUUAUAUUAUUUUUUAAUAAAAAUUGAAAGAUAAAAUGGAGGGAAAACAAAUUAGGGUUUAGAGUUUGCUUAUGUAUACAAGCUUAUAAUAUAAAAGAUUAAUCGAUAUAUCAUUCUGGUAUAUUAUUUGGGUUUGUAAGAAAUUGUGCCUUGAAUUUGUUGAGACUUGAGAGAGAGAGUUGUACUUACGAAUGAUAUAUAUAGUCUCUAUCAAUUGGUAUGAAUAAUAUGAUCGUUGUUCAAAAAAUGAAUAUUCAACAAUUUUAAGUUCUCGAAGAACUAAUAAAUUUAAUAUUAUGAAUUCUCGAAGAAUUCAACAAACUUAGUUCCUGAAGAACUAAUAAAUUUAAUCUAUGAAUUUGGUAAACUUAGUUCCAGAAUAACUAAGAAAUUUAAUAUUUUAUGAAUUCCCGAAGAACUUAAGAAUAUAAUUUAUGAAUUUUUGGAACAAUUCACUAAUCUAAUUCCUGAAGAACUUAAAAAACUCAAUUUUUUAUUGAAUUCCAAAAGAAUUCAAUAAUCUAGUUCCUGAAGAACUUGCGAAGUAUCACCAUAUUUCGAAAGAAUUUCAAUAAUCAUGCAUCCCUGAUGGAUUGCACAUAGAACUGAUAUUAUAUUGUUUAGAUUAAUUCUAUUUAUUAUGAAUUCCGAAAGAAUUUAAUAUACAUGUAUUUUUAGAGUUUUGAAUAUUUUGAAUAAAUUAAGUGUAAUGAAAAAGUUAUAAACGAGAAGUUUAUUCUACACUUAUAUAUUAGUGCAAUUGAAACAUAAAUUAUUGUAAACCAGAAGUUUACACAUCGUAUAAAAUUUAUUGUUGGCAAUACCGGUUGGGUAUCCCGGAUGUAUUAUGAUGCGAAAAAAAUAAAAAAUCUAUAGGUAUGUAUUGAAGGGCCUGAAGUUCCUUCAUUCCAAUAAUUUUUAUGUGUUACUAGCUCACAAAAGAAAUUGAUAAUUUGAGAAUAUGGAUCAUUUAGACACUUUGUGACUUGAAUUGAUGCAUCAACUAAAUUGGUCACAUGCAUAUUUACUCACAACCAGAAGUUUGUGAGAUUAUUUUCUCAAAUAGUUUUGCUAAGAUCUCAUUUUCUAAAUUCUUAGAAAAUAUUUGAUAAGUAUUGUAUGUCAAUUGAAAUUGAUAUUGAACAGAAUAUGGUCAUACAAGAAAAAAAUGGACUUGAAGAUCUAUUCUUUAGACGUCUAAAGUUAAUUACAUGACUGAUACUUAUGAGAUCAUAACUUCUAAUUUAUAUUUUGGGAACAUUCAAACAUGUAUAUUGAAAUACUAAUUCGCAUCAAGCCAACAAGUUAUUAUAAGUUCUCCCCUAAUUUACAAUUUGAACUUUGUUUAUAAAUAUGAUUCCCAUGUAAGCAUUUUUGGAUGUGUUGUGUUUGUGCAAUUGUUCCAAUAGAAUGCAUUUAAACGGUUCUUAAAGAAUAUUGAGAAAAUGUAUUUGAUAUGAAUCUCCAUCUAUUAUAAAUCAUCUUGAGCCAAAAAUUUGAGAAUUAUUUACAGCCCUGUAGGCUGAUUUUCAAGUGAUGAAUUAAUUUUCCCAAUAUUAGGGGGGAGAAUAAGCAGCUGAAAAAUAUGAACCAGAAGUUCAAAUAAAUCACUUGAAAUAAAUUAAUGUUAUUAUCUCACAUUGAUCCUCAUAGUUUGAAUCAAAUGUUCAAAAGAUAAAUCAUUUGCAAAAUUUAUGAAAUCACCUAUUAGCUGCUAAUGCUCCAAUCAAAAUGGAUGUCCCUGUUGGACAAUCUUAUAUUGCAAAUCAAUAUUAACCACCCUGAAGUGUGGUAGAUCAGUCGAAUCCAAUGAUAAAAAUCCUCAAAUAAGAAUAGGAGCUAAAAAGAAAGAUGAUCCAAGUGAGAAUAUGAAAACUUCAAAAGAGUAUUUGACAUAAUUGAGUUUUAAGUUAUAGAAGAACUUCUUAGGUACUUGAAAUUUAUGAUAAUAAAGAGAUCUUGACGAAUUAUGUCAUGAAUGAAAAUUAAUGUAUGAAUGGAAUAUGAUGGAAUCGAAAGGAAGUCAACGUUGAUGAUAUUUUUAUAUAUAAUAUAGCGCUAUAUGUGAAAAGAGUUAAUGAGGAUCAUGAACUAAAUUCUAUUGAGAAUUAUAGACAAUGAUGGUCUAAAUGAAAAUACACAAUUGUUACCUAAAGCCACUUUGCAAAGUGAAAGAUCUUUGGACCCACAUUCCAUCACAAUUUUUUGAACACAAUAUUUAAUCACACAUACAUUGAAAUAUUUGUCACUUAAUACAUUAAAAAAUAUACAUUAUUUAAUUCUUUUAUCUUUAUGCAUUUUUUCACAUACAUGAGAGUGACCAAAUACAAGGUCUAAAUAAUUAAGCAUUGACUCAAAUGGUUAACAAGAUUCCCUUAAAACAAAUCCUUCAGGAAAACUCGAGUUUAAUUUUUGAUCAAAUUUUACUUAAUUCAUGGCCGAACUUUAUAUUACUAUGACCCUUUCUUCUUUAAAUCAAAGAAUUAAUACAAAAAAAAAAUCUAAAUGGUUGUGACUACAAAAGUCUUUUCUCCAUAAAACUACUACUUGAUCCCUCCGUUCAAUUUUAUAAGAUAUAUUUUGACUAAAUGCAUUAUUCAUAUAUCUUGUUUUGACCGUAAUUUUCUAAAAGUAUAUAAAUGUAAAUAUUAUCAUAUAAAAUAUUGUUUGAUUUGUCUCGAUGAAUAUUUUCAAAAUAUCAAAUUUCUAAAAUUUUUAAUAAUAGACAAUUAAAGAUAUUCAUAAUCAAAAUUAUGUAUUGACACAUGUACCGUGGUCAAUGUAUCCUUAUAUUUUUUUUGAUGGAGAGAGUAUUUAAUUAAGGAUGGUAAACACUUCAUUGUCUCUCCACACACCUAUGAAGCACGGACUCCGACACGGACACCGCGACAUGACACGGACACGGACACCACGACACCGCUAAUAUAAAAAAUAUAGGACACCGACACCGCUACAUAUUUAUAAAACAUAUAAAUUGAUAAUCAAAAUAUAUACAUGUAAAUCUAAUUUGAGCAAGUUAUAUUUUUAAAAAAAAAUUAAAACAAGAUAUGAUAGUAUUUUACCUUUAUUUAUCCAUCUACGAUCGAAAAAACUAAAAAUAUCGUAAUCAAAAUGUAAUGUCUUCAAUCCCACAUUGAUCAAUAUUGUUGUUNNNNNNNNNNNNNCCGAUCAAAGGAGUGUCAAACUAAAGAAAAAAUUGAAUUUUUUCCGACACCGAUAUGAGCUAUCCGACACGUGUCGGACGAGUGUCAUACGAGUGUCGGACACCGACACGUGUCGGACACCGCGAUACGCCUAAUCAUAGAGGUGUUGGUGCUUCCUAGCCACACACCCACAGUUAAAAGAAAUACACUUCGGAAUUAAAGGACGAUAACACGCCUUGUUGAAACAAUCACUGUUAAUUCCGCAAGGGAAUGGAGCAACUACAAUGUAAAAAAAAAAAUUGGUUACUAAUAGAUUGCAAAUAUUAUAAGUACUCGAUCGAUUUUUAUUAUAAGAAAUUUUUUAAUUUUUAAAUUCAUCCAAUAAUUAAUGUAAUUAGUUUAUAUUAUAGAUCAAAUACAUUAGACAUUCAAUAAAUUUAAAGUAGUAUUAGCUUUUUCUUAUAAAAAGGACGGACAAAAUAUAUGAUAUAAAAGAAAAUUUAAAAAUGAUUGAAGAAAUGACUUACACAUUGGUUUUCUAGGGCCGCCGCCAUCGGUUAUAACAAGAAACAUGAAAAGAAAAAUUAUCAAAACAUAAAUAAACUUCGAAAUAUGAGCCAUGUUUUUUUUCUCCUUUGCAUGCAAUGAAUUGGAAAUUGUUUGAUUAGUACUUUAUAAGUAAAAAUCCUAAAAUUUGUUAACUAUAAUUAAGUAGAUCUUAGCACUUUCGUUUGCGAUAAGCCAAUCAUAAAAUUUUAAUUUUUUUGUUAAAUGUCUCAAAGAUAUAUCAAAGCGUCAUACUCCGUAAAAAAAAUAAAUCAAAGCGUCAUGUUUAUUGGUAAGCUCAUUUAGACGGACACUUACUUUUUCCUGUCACUGUUAUAAGCAAAAAAUCACUUUUUAGAUUUAGUGAAAAUUUAAUGUUCUGGCUUAUAUUAUGAACUAAAUACAUAGUUUUUCAGUGAAUCUAAAAUAUAAUAUUUUGCUUAUAAUAGUGAUCGAAGUUACUACGAGUUAGUAAAACCUCACAUAAAUAUCUUGGUGAUGAUCAAUGGUGACAUAUGUUGUAUUAUAAUAUUAUAAUAUUUUUCUAUUUGUCUUUUAGUCUUUUAUGAUAUACAACAGAAAAAUUCCAAACGAUAAAUAAUUGUGAUAAAUCAUGUAGAAAAAGAAAUAGUUUUAGAAUUAAUGCAUUGAAGAGAUGACAACACAAUAACAUAUCAUAUGAGAAUGAUAAAAUUAUAUGAGAAUAAAUUGUAGUCAUUAAAUUUAAAUGAAAUAGUAGAAUUAAAAAAACAUCAUUAAGGAAGUCAUGUGAUUGUCAUGUGACAUUAUUAUUUCAAAUCAAGGAGAUUAAAAUUUAUUUAUUUAUUUGAGUUUCAAUUGUUUAUGCAAUUUGAACAAUAAACUAAAACAUGUUGGAUUUCUUCAUCUAAUCUUUUCUAUAUUUCUUUUCAUUUCUCAUGAGAUUAACUUUAUGUGAGAUUGAUUCCAAUUCUAGGCAGAAAAAAUCAGUGGGUUGAAGAAGAUGAACAACAGAUGAAUGAAUUUAUGAGAUAAAGUUUUAUUUUUUCCAAUUACAGGCAGAAUAAAUUUGUAUCAACCAGUGUUCCCUUGCUUCUUCACCUUAGUCAAGCAUGAUUUUUUAUUUCAGUUUUCCUCCAUUGAAAUAACCUUAAACUAUGAUGAAAGAAUUAAUUUUUAAUUUAAUUUAUUUGUUAAACAAAGAAAGGUGUGAUUCUCCUUGGAAGAUUAGAAAUAGAUGGAACAAUUGCAUGCACAACAUUACCAACAUGAACUUCAUGAUAUCCCAUAUAUAUAGGGAAGGUAACAAUUGCGAUGAUGCUCUUGCAAAAAUUGGUCUAACUCUACUGCACCUUUCGUUCUGGAAUGAAUUACCCCAAGCUAUAUUGAAAAGUUACUCUUCUGAUAGACUUGGUAGACCUAAGUAUAGAUUUUCUAAUAUGUAAGGAGAUUUUGGUUUAGUCCCCCUCCUUUUUUUGUAUCUUUCUCAUUUUUAUCUAUCUAUAUAUUUUGAGGUAGUAGCACUUUGCUACUCCUCUUUUGGUUUAAAAAAAAGAAAAAGAAAGGUGUGAUUUCUAUCCAAGAGAAGAGAGGGAGAAGGGUGUAGAUAUUAGAGAGAGAUACAGUGAAUCUGUUGAAGGCAUAUCGAUGAAAAUUAUUUGUACAUCUUCCCAUGAAAUUUAUUUCAAGAAAAAUACAAAAACAUAUACUUCAAAUUAUUAUAUUUUAUUUUUUUCUUAAUAAGUGUGAUUUUUAUUUUUUCUUUUAUAAUUUGGGACGUAGGGAGUAUGUUUUAAUCCUUGUUUUUUCUUUUGAAUCUAAUGGCUAUUAUUCAUUCUCAUAUUCUCAUGUAUCUUUGUCAUUCUCAUACGAUACAUCUUGUGACAACAAUUUAAAGGUCAAAUAUAUCUUCUGUUUUUUUAAGUUUGACGUUUAUAUCAUAUAAGUCAUUUCCGUGUUUUUUGUUUCAACGUUUGCAAUGUUAUCUUUUUUCAUCGAAUUUUGUUUUUUUUAAUGGUAAAGAGCUCAAAGUAUUACAUUCAUGAUAAUGUUAUUGAUACAAUUUGGUACAUUAGUAAAAAUAUGGGGAACUAGGAAAAGAUGUAACCAACCCAGUUUGUUCCGUAAAUAUUUAUUUUGGAAUGUGCUUGGAAUACACAGUUGAGAGACGGUCUAGGGUAAUAUUUUUAUUAGAUUAAACAUAAUUUGAAAUUUGGGGUUCAUUAAAAAAUUUCUUUUAGAAAUUUUGAACGAACAUGUCCGAAAUCGUUUGAUGCAGUUACGAUGCAUCCAUACACAUGAUUAAAAAUCACAUUGCAAUUGCGGUGUGUUGCAGUUAUAUAUAGAAACUAUCGCAUCAGUAAUAUUACAGCCGCUAGCAGGCAAGUCAGAAACUACAAAUUAGCCUGAUCCAAUGACCCACCUCAUGGAAUCAUAUUUACCUCAUCAUAUUUUUCACAUAAUCCCAAUUCACUAUGUCAUAAGUAUUGCUUAUAAAAAAAAAAACUAUGUCAUAAGUCUUGCUAAUAUCUUUUUUCGGUGUCAUAAUGUGAAGAAUGGAAUGAUUUUCAACAAACUUGGGUUGUUUUUGAAAAAUACAAUUUGGUAACAAGAUUUUCAUUCUAUUCGCCAACAUUUUUUAAGUUAUUUUAUCAAAAAAAUUACAUAAAGUAAUUGGAUGAAAAUCCUUCGUAGACAUAGGAUUAUCCUUUUUUUAAAAUGAGAACGAUUUUUAAUUAGGAUCAAUUAAGAUGAUAUAAUCAUAAAUUCAGUUGGUAGAGACAUUGCAUUAUAUAUGUAGGGGUGGAGUUCGAACCUCGAUCAUCCCAUUUAUCCACCUUAAGAGUAAAAUUUCUAACGACUAGACUAUUUUAAAAAAAAUAAUAUAACCACGGAUAGCAUAAUAUGGUAAGACACAUAUGAAACCCAACUUUCACGAACAGUUUUGGUAGUCGAUCUUUUAUUCAUUUUUAGCACUUUCAAAGUGAAGGACGUACGUCACAAAAAUAUUAAUAUUUAUAAAAUUUAAAUCACUCAGCAAUCUUAUGCUAAAUGCAAAAGAGAAUAAAUAAAUAGUCAAAUGCAACACUAUUUGUCAAAAAAAAAUAAAAAUGCAACACUACUUUUAUAUAAUAUACUAUAAUAAUAUAACACUUUUGAGCUCGUCAAAGAAAUUGAAAUAUCAUUGAUACAUAAUUGAAAUUGUGGGGGACAUUUAAAAAGUACUAACAUUAUUUUUUUAUUUUUUUUUAAUUUAUCAUUUUUUUAAUACCCUCUAUCACUAAAACGUUCCAUGCAUAAACAUUUGUAAUAAAUGCAAUACGGAAUUAAAGGUUUAUGACAUGCCAUUGUUUCACAAUCAUCGUCUUGUUCACAAGACCAUGGCUGCUUAACUACAAUAUCAAAUAAAAAUAAAGGACUGUUAGUUGUCAAAUAUUGUGUAUAUCGAGUGCAGAUCCUCUACGGUGAUAUAUUUAUGGAUGUGCUUUGUUAUAGAUCUCGGUCAUUCAAUUUUUUUUCAGUCAUAUGAAUGGUGUGAUAUAAAAAUAAAAUAGAUGGCUGAGAUGUCACCGUAAAAAAACUUGUUUUUUUUUUUACAGACCGUAGAAAAACUUUAUAUGAGUUGUAUAUCAUAUAAAAGAAAAAUUGAAAACAAUGUGAAAAAAUUACUUACCAGCUGGCCUUAAGACGCCAUUGGUUACGACAAGAAACAUGGAAAUACAGAUUAUCAAAGUAUAAAUAAACUUGAGAAGUUUAAUCAUAUUAUUUUUUCCUUUGCAUGCCAUCGAUUGAAAAUUGUUUAAUUAUUGUAUAACUAAAAACUCUAUAACUUAUUAACUAUAUAUAAUUAAAUAGAUCCCAGCACUUUCGUGUUGAAUUAAGUCUAUCAUAAUAUUGUAAUUUUUGUUAAAUGUCACUAAGAUAUAUCAAAGUGUCAUGUUUAUUUGAUAAGUUCAUUGGUUCGAACACUUAAACCUUAGUAAGAAUCUCACAUAUUAAAAAUCUUGGUGGCGAUCAAUGGUAACUAUUUCUUUUAUUAUAAUUUUCUAUUUUAGCCUUUCACAAUUUAUAAGAAAAUAAUCCAAAAUGAUUAAUAAUUGUGAUGAAUUAUAGAGAAAAAAAAUUAAUAUUGUAAAAAUAAUGCAUUUAAGAGGUGACAAUACGUUAGUUUAUAAAGAGUCGUGUUAACUUGUACUCUCCAAGCAUUAGUUAAGGAACUAAAAACAAAUAACACUUUUAUUGAAAAGAACAUCUAUUUUUAAAAAUAUUGACUACAUAUGUUUCAAGAUAAUUAUACCAUAUUGGUUUCUUCUAAACUAUAUCCCUUCAUAAUUUGGGGUAUUUACUUAUCAACCAAUGAAAACAAGUCACAUGCAUGUGAAAUAAAAGUUGGUUACUAGUUAGUUGUGGGUACCAUAUUUAAGGGUGUGUUUGGUAACACAAAUAAGCUAGCUUAUAGCUUAUUAUAUGAGCUUAUAAGCUUGUUUCAAAAAAUUAGAGGUGUUUGGUAACAAGCUUUUUUCCAGAUGCUAUUUCAAGUAGCAUUUGAGCUUAUAGCUUAUAGCUUUUUACACUUUAUUCCAUUUUUACCCUUUAAUUUAAUAACUACUCACUCUAAAAAAUAAACUACCCACUAUCAAUUAUGUAAUUUUAUAUUUAAUAACCACUUUAAAAGCUAAUUUUACCAAACACUUUAAUUUCAAUAAGCUAGCUUUUCAGCUAUCAGCUAUAAGCUAGCUUUUCAGCUUUCAGUUAGCUUAUCAGCUAGCUUGUAGCUUAUUUUUACCAAACAGACCCUAAAUCUACUCAUGUGGCUUGUUCUCAUUGCACUACAAGAAAACAAGGGUUUAUUGAGGGACAAAAGCCCUCAAUAAUGCACAAAAUUCGCCACAAUUGCAUGCAUUAUUGGUGGCUAAGGACCCUCUGGAAAAUGCUCGCCAGUAAUGUUUAUUGGCGAUCCAGGACCGUCAAUAAUGUUAUUGACAGCCUGCAGCCGCCAAUAAUGCACAUGGAAGAAUUGGAAGGCAACGAAAAGACAACGACAUUUGUGGCGGCCUGCAGCCGCCAAUAACGAGGGGGANNNNNNUAAUGUGCGGCGAAUUUAAAAAAAAAAUAAAUUUAAUUAUUUAAAAAUCAAAUUAAUUUUUAAAUAAUUAAAUUAUUUUUUUAAUUUAGAGUUUUAAAUAUUUAAUUUUAAAAAAAAUAUACUGCAUAAUAAAUAAUUAAAAAAUAUUAAAUAUAAUGUUAUUUUGACAAAAAAUAUUAAAUUUAAUUAAAAACACAAUAUAAAUACUUAACAUAAGCAUAAUUAAACAUAACAAUAAUAUUGUCAUUACAACCAAGCAUAAUUAAACAUACCAUCACAAAAAAAAUAAAAAUUAAACAUAAUAAAUUGUCAUUGGGUUACAACUAAUUAAAUCAAAAGAUAAUUAAAAUUACAUCAUGAUUAUCAUCGAUUCAAUAUUCGUCACUUGGUCGGUCAGGCUGAGUUUGUGGUUGUUUUCCCUUGCCGCUGUAUGUUGGCUCGCGCGGCCUCCCUUGGUCUCGGUCUCGGCCUCUACCUACCUCAAUUAUUCUUACUAGGGGGAGUGGGUUCGGUCGCACCAAAGGCGCCAAAGGUCGCGCCACAGUAGAAGGUGAACCAAAAGUACAAAUAUGCAGUUGUCCUACUAACUGGUAACAGGAUUUCUGAAACAUAUUUCGCUUUAGAAGGUGAACCGUCAUGUAGAGAUAAACUAAUGUGCCUCGGAUGGGUGAACCGCAACCAUUUCAUGCAAGUAACAUUAAAAUCGGACAGUCCAAUACCUCCAACCAAUCAAAUGUGGGUGCGACACCAUUUGAAAUCUGCUGACAAUUGGCAGAGUAGAUAUGUUCAUCGUAUGGAAAAAUACACCAAACUAAAGCUUACUCACGAUGGACCGGUGGUUCGAGAUAAAAUUAAAGUGCUAUACCCCUUGACGACGACAGUGUUGCAAACGAUUUUGGCCGCCCCUACCUAGUGUCUUAAGAUUUUGGGUAAAAGUAUGGUGUCAAACCCACUUGUUAAGUUGUUCUUAAUUUCAAUGUGAAUGAUCCCCAAUUGUCCUUGUAAUCCAACAGAAAAUGGAUUUCGUUUUUAUAAUCUUAAUAUAAUCAUCCCCUUUAUCUAGAAACUUGUAAUAUUGCUCUUGUUCAAUAAUCUACGAAACACAUAAAAGUUUGGCUUUUGACGAAAUAAAUAAUAAAUUUGACGUAAAACAUAACAUAGUAUAGUAUAAUAUAAUGAAAAUUAAAUUAAUAUUUUAGAAUUACAAUUAACAAUUAUAUUUAGAGCAUAUGAAAUAAUAAUAAUAAUAAUAAUAAUAAUAAUAAUAAUAAUAAUAAUAAUAAUAAAAGAUAAAAUUAAACUAAUAAGAAGUAUUAAAAAAAUUAAAAAUUAACAAAUAAUAAGUUAAGUAAUAUAUCAAUCUAAUAAAUAAAAAAUUAAAUUAUAUGUAUGCAGUUUGGUUCGGUUUCGAUCGUUUUUGAAAAAUUAAUUCAAAAUCCAAUCUAACAAUUUUUACAAAAGGAGAUCUAAGUGACAUCUUUGUUUACACUAUCAAUAGAGAACGCACGUUUCACGCAGUCACAAUUAGAAGAAAUGCACUUCCGAGUUAAUGGCCUAUGACAUGCCUUUGUUUCACAAUCUUCGUCCUGUCCGCAAGGCCAUGGAUUACCUACAACGUCAAAUAAAAAUAAAAGACCGUUAAUUACUAUAGGUAGUCAAAUAUUGUGUAUAUGGAGUAUAAUUAUUAUUUUUUUUGGGAAAAACAGUAUAUGGAGUAUAAUAUAAAAGAAAAUUUAAAUAUAGUGUGAAGAAAUGACUUACGAGAUGGCGUUCUGAAGCCAUCGAGUACAACAAGAAAUAUAGACAUAAAGAUUAUCAAAGUAUAAAUAAACUUGAGAAGUAGUUUUGUCAUAUUUUUUCUCAUUUGCAUGCAAUAAACUGAAAA